RNAcentral lists this ribosomal RNA (840 nucleotides) under uncultured Gammaproteobacteria bacterium. Its description in RNAcentral is "bacterial SSU rRNA". It matches the Rfam family "Bacterial small subunit ribosomal RNA", at positions 54 to 873 of the family's 1533-position model. The record is from RNAcentral. Lineage: Bacteria; Pseudomonadati; Pseudomonadota; Gammaproteobacteria.
CAUGCAAGUCGAGCGGUAACAGACAUAAAGAUUCAGCUUGCUGAAUCCGGUGCUGACGAGCGGCGAACGGGUGAGUAACGCGUAGGAAUCUACCCAGUAGCGGGGGAUAGCCCGAGGAAACUCGGAUUAAUACCGCAUACGCCCUGAGGGGGAAAGGGGGCAGUUUACUGCUCUCACUAUUGGAUGAGCCUGCGUAAGAUUAGCUUGUUGGUAGGGUAAUGGCCUACCAAGGCGACGAUCUUUAGCUGGUCUGAGAGGACGAUCAGCCACAUUGGGACUGAGACACGGCCCAGACAUCUACGGAUGGCAGCAGUUAAGAAUAUUGGACAAUGGGGGCAACCCUGAUCCAGGUAUACCGCGUGUGUGAAGAAGGCCCUAGGGUUGUAAAGCACUUUAAUCAGAGAAGAAGCAAUUUAAGUUAAUACCUUAUUUUGUUGACGUUACCUGAAGAAUAAGGACCGGCUAACUCCGUGCCAGCAGCCGCGGUAAUACGGAGGGUCCAAGCGUUAAUCGGAAUUACUGGGCGUAAAGCGCGCGUAGGCGGUUUAGCAAGUUGUAUGUGAAAGCCCUGGGCUCAACCUAGGAACUGCAUCCAAAACUACUAAGCUAGAGUACGAGAGAGGAGAGUAGAAUUUCUGGUGUAGCGGUGAAAUGCGUAGAUAUCAGAAGGAAUACCAAUGGCGAAGGCAGCUCUCUGGCUCGUCACUGACGCUGAGGUGCGAAAGCGUGGGUAGCAAACAGGAUUAGAUACCCUGGUAGUCCACGCCGUAAACGAUGACAACUAGCCGUUGGGCAGAUUUAACUGUUCAGUGGCACAGCUAACGCAUUAAGUUGUCCGCC